AAGUGGUAUCAAGAGCAGAGUUAAGUCUCUCUCCAACCUGCCAACUCCGGCAAGGUGGAACAAAUGAUGCGGUUGUUCAACAAUUAAAGGAGAUAAA
The submitters of this non-coding RNA (97 nucleotides) gave its source as unclassified sequences. The record is from Rfam.